RNAcentral lists this unclassified non-coding RNA (214 nucleotides) under Hevea brasiliensis (rubber tree). Lineage: Eukaryota; Viridiplantae; Streptophyta; Magnoliopsida; Malpighiales; Euphorbiaceae. The record is from RNAcentral.
GUUUUACUGAGGUAACGAACAUGAAAAGUGAAGAAACUAGAUUGUAAGAUAUUAUACAGUAUAUUAUAUAUCUCAAAAAGCAAUGAAGUUCUUGCUGCAUCUAGGAUUUUUCUUUCUGUAUUGAAGAUACAUUUAUCUAAUCAAGAAGAAGCAUUUCUCAUCACUCCACAAUUUGAUAGAAAAGAAACAAAAGAUAGAUGAGAAAACAUGGAAU